RNAcentral lists this transfer RNA (71 nucleotides) under Trachonurus sulcatus (bristly grenadier). RNAcentral's name for it is "tRNA-Ser". It matches the Rfam family "tRNA". Rfam says of the family: Transfer RNA (tRNA) molecules are approximately 80 nucleotides in length. Their secondary structure includes four short double-helical elements and three loops (D, anti-codon, and T loops). Further hydrogen bonds mediate the characteristic L-shaped molecular structure. tRNAs have two regions of fundamental functional importance: the anti-codon, which is responsible for specific mRNA codon recognition, and the 3' end, to which the tRNAs corresponding amino acid is attached (by aminoacyl-tRNA synthetases). tRNAs cope with the degeneracy of the genetic code in two manners: having more than one tRNA (with a specific anti-codon) for a particular amino acid; and 'wobble' base-pairing, i.e. permitting non-standard base-pairing at the 3rd anti-codon position. Lineage: Eukaryota; Metazoa; Chordata; Actinopteri; Gadiformes; Macrouridae. The record is from RNAcentral.
AAGAAAAUGACAGAGUGGUCAUGUGAUUGGCUUGAAACCAGUUGAUGGGGGAUCGAUACCCUCUUUUCUCG